Non-coding RNA from Trichobilharzia regenti, 47 nucleotides. The record is from Rfam. NCBI's taxonomy places the organism in Eukaryota, Metazoa, Platyhelminthes, Trematoda, Strigeidida, Schistosomatidae.
CUACUCGAUGAAGAGUCCCAAAAUGGGACGAAACAGCUGUCCAGUAC